Molecule: small nuclear RNA, 142 nt
Filed under: Theobroma cacao (cacao)
Lineage: Eukaryota; Viridiplantae; Streptophyta; Magnoliopsida; Malvales; Malvaceae
Description: snRNA U4
Rfam family: U4 spliceosomal RNA
About the family: U4 small nuclear RNA (U4 snRNA) is a component of the major U2-dependent spliceosome. The structure of U4 snRNA from yeast and human has been reported.
Source: Rfam by way of RNAcentral
ACAAAAGCGCUUGGGGCAAUGACGCAGCUAGUGAGGUUCUAACCGAGGUGCGUCUAUUGCUGGUUGAAAACUAUUUCCAAACCCCCUCUUAGGCCUGGGUUCAGCCCCGGCCUUAGAGAAUGUCUGGAAGUGCUCCCUAGGG